This 3333-nucleotide long non-coding RNA is filed under the name Homo sapiens (human). RNAcentral's name for it is "HSALNT0058140". Lineage: Eukaryota; Metazoa; Chordata; Mammalia; Primates; Hominidae. The record is from RNAcentral.
CUUUCUCUGUUGCUGAGGCUGAAGUGCAGUGGCGUGAUCUCAGCUCACUGCAACCUCUGCCUCCCGGGUUCAAGCAAUUCUCCUGCCUCAGCCUCCAGAGUAGAUGGGAUUACAGGUGCACGCCACCAUGCCCAGCUAAUUUUUUGUAUUUUUAGUAGAGACGGGGUUUCACCAUGCUGGCCAGGGAGCUCUUUUUACAGACAUCAUACGUAGAGCACACACAGACAAGCAGAAGAAAAGUCAGUCGCUGGAUGGGGCCCUUUAAGAGAUAGGGCCACAUGCAGAUAUCAAACCAGAAAGAACCAUUCCCUAAGGCAGGGUUGCUAAACAAAACCAAAAAAACUUUAAAGGUUAAUUUGUUGAUGGGGUAGAGUAGGGGAAAGAAAAGAAACAGUUUAAAAAUAUCUGGGGAAGAACCUCUUAUUCUUAGGCAAGUGGUUCCUCCGCUGGGGAGAAAAGUUUAAUUACUGUCCCGUGGAGUUGAAACCGUUUGGCUGGGGAAGGGGAAAGCUGCUGCAGCAUGGCUGGGAACCAGCCUGCUGGCUGUGUGGGACCCUUGGGCACCGCGUCCCAGCCCCAGCAUGGAGGUGGGAGGGGCUGAGAGCUGUUGCUCCUUGGUUCUUCCUGAGAAAGGAAGGAAAAGGCCAUGAAAAGGCCCCCAACCCCCAGGAGUGGAGAGGGAUGGGGGUUCAAACCCCAGAAGCGACAAGGAGUGGGGGUGCAGUUUCUUGUAAGUUCAGACGUCUGAGGUUGAAAAGGCUUAGAAAUCACAGUGAGAGGUUUUGAGUUCCCAUUUCACUCACCACUUCUGGAGCCCCUCAUUUGCGGCAAAAACGUUGCAUAACUUUUCCUUAGUUCAGGUAAAAAUGUGGGGGCUCUUGUCUGUCCAACAGCCAUGAAAAUUUAGGCUCACAGACAGUUUAAAGGGUGAGUAAAGCAGGGUUUUAUUGGGUGAAAAGGGCCGGGGGGCGGGUGGGGAAAGGACACGGAUCCUCCACACGGCCAGAGUACCCUGCUAGAGCACUUCCCACCUGGCUAUUUGAAUCUCAGGUUCCGCACAGGAAGAGGAGGGGCUGGGCUCCUCCGCAUUGCAAAGGGUGCAAACUUUCUGAGGUUCCAGUCCAGUGGGCAGGCUGGUUAGAGUUCCUCUAGGGGCCCCCUCCCACCUGGCUGUCUCACUUACAACUUCCCUGUUCUGUAUGAUGUUGUCUAUGAGUUUGUCAUACAUGACUUGUAUUAUUUUGAGGCUCAGAAGUACAUAUUCAGGUUUGUUGUACAGCUCCCAGACUUCAUCCUGCUUCAGCUCCUGUCAUCCUGUGCUGUGGAAUUCCUAAACCUCUUAGCUUGAGCCCUGCAACGAUCUGAUUUUCACUCCGUUCUAGGAAGGUUCCAUUCUUCAGUGUGGAGCACAUAUAAGUAUGCAUCUAUAUUGGAGAAAUGAAUGCUAAACAAACGAGGAGGUGGGGCCUUUGAGAGGCCAUUAUAUCAUGAAGGCAGAACACUCAGGAAUGGGGUCAGUGCCGUUAUAAAAGAUGCCCUGGAGAGACCUUUUGUCCCUUCUACCAGAUUGGAAAAGCAUUGGAAAAUUUGUCCAAAGUCACUCAACAGAUUCAUGAUGGAUCCUGGAUUCACAGCCAGCUUUACUUGGCAAUAAAAUUCAAGUCCUGUUCACAUCACAACACAUUUUUACCGAAAGAAAAAUAUGAUGUGUAGAUGUUUGGAGGCAUCCUAUCUUAAUGAGGCUUUUGUUAGAAAGAGUUUUCUUAAAAUUACAGGGUUGGGGAAAUAAAAAAUGUUUGUUGCUCAGAUUAACAAAAAAAUGGUAUAUAGAAAAUAAAGCUAAGAAAGGAAAGUGCAGACAACCAAGAGACUAGAAUUUUCAAUAAAUGGCAAAAUUGUGGUGUUCUGUGGUUACCUCUUGAAGAUUUGGCCUGAAUCAUGCAACAAUUGCCCCUUACCCUCAGUCCUCAAAUUACAAUAGUGAAAGAGGUUUCUAUAGGUAUUAUAUUUGAAUCUGCUAUAUUUUGUUUAUUACUUGCAAGGACAUAUAGGAGAGCAAAAGUUUUCCCUCUAAUUUCUUAGGUUUAGUAACUGGAACUUGUGAAUUAAACUGGCAAAAUACAGAUUAACAGGAGAAGAGUCAUAGACAUUUUAUUUUAAAUUUCAUAUGCAAUGUAGUUCCAGAGAAAAGAAGUGAAAGCCUGAAGAAGCAAUUAGACUUGAGGAGUUAUAUCUUUAACAAAGGGUGGUGAGUGUAGAGAAGUGACUAGAUUUUUUUUAAGAUGGUUUUAGGCUUCCAAGGGUGAUAAACCAUGGGAAGGAAAAUACAUGAGGGAAACUAAUGGUAUAUAGGAGUUAUUUAGUAAGGUUUGUUUACACAGACUAAUCUCAGUGGUAAGAACGGUUUUUCUCCUUUUUCUGGUCAGGGGAAGGAGAAGGGACACCAUCACAAUGGGAAUUUGUGCUUUGCUGGUAGACAAAUAGGAGCAGAGCAGAGAACUUCUUUCUCUCAAUUGUCUUCAGCUCAGAAUAAUCCUUAUGCCAAACAGGCAUAAUUUGGAAUUACAUAUUUUCAUCCUCUCCACACACAAGCUUCCGUAUAAAGUUCAAAGACAGUAGUAUUUUCUUAUAAUUCACUCUGCCCCAAAUAUUAACUAAGAUGACAUUCUUUUUCCAGCUUGAUUCUGCAACAUUCACUUCCAGAAACUUUAUCACUCUUAAUCCUGGAUUGAAGGAAAAUAUUUGAAUGUGAUAAAGGAUAUAUAUUUUAAAAAGAAAGGAACUAUAAUAAAAGGCAAGAUUCAGAAAUUAUGUUGUAAUCUGUGACUUAGUGCAAUUUAGUCCUUGAAUUUCUUGUGUGCAAUUUAUUGAAGCUAUCUUAUUAUAUGUUAAUUCUGUGUCUUCUUUGCCCUCUCUUUUUGUAAAAAUUUUCUUUUUCUGAAUUUUUUUCCAGAGUCAAUCAUUGAUCUUCUUGAUAACAUUCAUUUCCCUUGGUGAACUAACUUUGGUUCAUCGCUUUAUCAUUCUUCUCCAGGCUGUUUUUGAAGGGUCUGUGAGCUGAGAAUGGUUUUUAAUAGAUAAAUGCUCACAAUCAAUUUGGGGAUAAGAAAUAUUAUUUUGAAUCUCAGUUACAAAAAAUGUUAUCCUUCAUAAAAUAAUUCAUUUUUUUCUCAGUAAUAAAAAUGUAUUUCAAAAAUAUGGUGUCCUUAUUAUAUUUUAAAUUUUGCCAAUAAAAAUAAUAAAAAUUGAUUUUCUCUAAUUAUGUAAGUACCUAGAUGAUUUUUAAAAUUUUGUCUCUUGACUUAUACAAAGCCUAAAAUAUUUAUAACUGCC